Molecule: ribosomal RNA, 511 nt
Filed under: uncultured bacterium
Lineage: Bacteria
Description: partial 16S ribosomal RNA
Rfam family: Bacterial small subunit ribosomal RNA
Source: RNAcentral
UGGGGAAUUUUGGACAAUGGGCGAAAGCCUGAUCCAGCAAUGCCGCGUGUGUGAAGAAGGCCUUCGGGUUGUAAAGCACUUUUGUCCGGAAAGAAAAUCCUUGGCUCUAAUACAGUCGGGGGAUGACGGUACCGGAAGAAUAAGCACCGGCUAACUACGUGCCAGCAGCCGCGGUAAUACGUAGGGUGCAAGCGUUAAUUGGAAUUACUGGGCGUAAAGCGUGCGCAGGCGGUUUGCUAAGACCGAUGUGAAAAUCCCCGGGCUCAACCUGGGAACUGCAUUGGCGACUGGCAGGCUAGAGUAUGGCAGAGGGGGGUAGAAUUCCACGUGUAGCAGUGAAAUGCGUAGAGAUGUGGAGGAAUACCGAUGGCGAAGGCAGCCCCCUGGGCCAAUACUGACGCUCAUGCACGAAAAGCGUGGGGGAGCAAAACAGGAUUAGAUACCCUGGUAGUCCACGCCCUAAAACGAUGUCAACUAGUUGUUGGGGAUUCAUUUCCUUAGUAACGUAGCU